Non-coding RNA from Plectropomus leopardus (leopard coralgrouper), 486 nucleotides. Lineage: Eukaryota; Metazoa; Chordata; Actinopteri; Perciformes; Serranidae. The record is from RefSeq and is a predicted model, not a curated record.
GGAUGAACAACAAGCAGCCUGGAGAGCAGAGCUGGACUGAACCAGCACUCACCUGGCUGUUGGGUUUGGCGCUGAAGCACUUCCCCAGUCGUGCCCUCGACACAGCUCCGUGUAGGACGAGUACUCUACGUACACGAUCCAGCUCCCCACAAACACCGCCAGCCACGAGAAGAACAGGUACUUCAUGUGCAGGUCUUCAGCAUUAACAGUUAUAGCCAAACAGGAGCACCUGAUCUGCAGUACAGGCCACGCCCCCGUCACACCUGGUGGUGAUUCAGCAUGAAGGUGAGCAGAAACUAUCAGGAGGCCUUCAACACAUUAAAACACUCAAAAAACAUAAAAAACAGUGAGCAGAGCUGCAGCUAAUCAAAAUAUUACAAACCACAAUUAUACACAUAAAUAAACCAGAUUUCUGUUAAAAAUGUUUGUUUUUUCUCACUGAGGUCCAUGAGCUGACAGACGGCGAAUCCCUCUGAAAACAUCCAG